This 660-nucleotide ribosomal RNA is filed under the name uncultured marine bacterium. RNAcentral's name for it is "bacterial SSU rRNA". It matches the Rfam family "Bacterial small subunit ribosomal RNA", at positions 823 to 1482 of the family's 1533-position model. The record is from RNAcentral.
UUGGGGGACUUGAUCCCUUAGUGGUGAAGCUAACGCGAUAAGUAGACCGCCUGGGGAGUACGGUCGCAAGAUUAAAACUCAAAUGAAUUGACGGGGGCCCGCACAAGCGGUGGAGCAUGUGGUUUAAUUCGACGCAACGCGAAAAACCUUACCUGGUCUUGACAUCCUGCGAACUUUCUAGAGAUAGAUUGGUGCCUUCGGGAACGCAGUGACAGGUGCUGCAUGGCUGUCGUCGGCUCGUGUCGUGAGAUGUUGGGUUAAGUCCCGUAACGAGCGCAACCCUUGUCCUUAUUUGCCAGCACGUAAUGGUGGGAACUCUAAGGAGACUGCCGGUGACAAACCGGAGGAAGGUGGGGACGACGUCAAGUCAUCAUGGCCCUUAUGACCAGGGCUACACACGUGCUACAAUGGAGCGUACAGAGGGUUGCUAAGCCGCGAGGUGGAGCCAAUCCCAGAAAACGUUUCGUAGUCCGGAUCGAAGUCUGCAACUCGACUUCGUGAAGUCGGAAUCGCUAGUAAUCGCGAAUCAGCAUGUCGCGGUGAAUACGUUCCCGGGCCUUGUACACACCGCCCGUCACACCAUGGGAGUGGGUUGCAAAAGAAGUGGCUAGUCUAACCUUCGGGAGGACGGUCACCACUUUGUGAUUCAUGACUGGGGUG